This is a non-coding RNA of Eubalaena glacialis (North Atlantic right whale), 73 nucleotides long. The record is from the annotation of a RefSeq genome assembly. Lineage: Eukaryota; Metazoa; Chordata; Mammalia; Artiodactyla; Balaenidae.
UCCCUGAUGGUCCAGUGGUUAGGACUCUGUACUUGCACUGCUGAGGGCACGGGUUCGAUCCCUAGUCAGGGAA